Molecule: ribosomal RNA, 252 nt
Filed under: uncultured bacterium
Lineage: Bacteria
Description: partial 16S ribosomal RNA
Rfam family: Bacterial small subunit ribosomal RNA
Source: RNAcentral
UACGGAGGAUGCGAGCGUCAUCCGGAUUUAUUGGGUUUAAAGGGUGCGUAGGCGGUCCGUUAAGUCAGCGGUAAAAUUGCGGGGCUCAACCCCGUCGAGCCGUUGAAACUGGCAGACUUGAGUUGGCGAGAAGUACGCGGAAUGCGCGGUGUAGCGGUGAAAUGCAUAGAUAUCGCGCAGAACUCCGAUUGCGAAGGCAGCGUACCGGCGCCAGACUGACGCUGAGGCACGAAAGCGUGGGGAUCGAACAGG